UCUGGUGAUGAUGACGAAGAGGUCACACCCGUUCCCAUGCCGAACACGGAAGUUAAGCUCUUCAGCGCCGAUGGUAGUCGGGGGUUUCCCCCUGUGAGAGUAGGACAUCGCCAGGC
This 116-nucleotide ribosomal RNA is filed under the name Bacillus subtilis. The record is from RNAcentral. Lineage: Bacteria; Bacillati; Bacillota; Bacilli; Caryophanales; Bacillaceae.